GCAGGAAAUACCUCUUUUAAGAGAGAAAAUAUAAAGAGACUUCAUUUAAGCACAAGAACAAAUACAAACGGCACUGAUCCUUUCAAUGACCAUAAAAUCAGCUGAGGAUAAGUGGCCUUGUGACUGAACUUCUCAGCAGGCUAUGGCAUCACAAGAAGUUUCUCUAUGGAAAGAAAAAAUAUGAAUGUUCAGAAACAGUGUUACAGCAGAAUCAAAG
Molecule: long non-coding RNA, 217 nt
Filed under: Numida meleagris (helmeted guineafowl)
Lineage: Eukaryota; Metazoa; Chordata; Aves; Galliformes; Numididae
Description: lncRNA (ENSNMEG00000007204.1)
Source: RNAcentral